CUACGGGCGGCUCCAGUGAGGAAUAUUGCACAAUGGGGGGAACCCUGAUGCAGCAACGCCGCGUGGAGGAUGACGCAUUUCGGUGUGUAAACUCCUUUUAUAUGUCAAGAAAAUGACGGUAGCAUAUGAAUAAGCACCGGCUAACUCCGUGCCAGCAGCCGCGGUAAUACGGAGGGUGCAAGCGUUACUCGGAAUCACUGGGCGUAAAGGACGCGUAGGCGGGUUGGAAAGUCAGGUGUGAAAUCCUACAGCUUAACUGUAGAACUGCACUUGAAACUUCUAAUCUAGAGUAUGGGAGGGGGAGAUGGAAUUCGUGGUGUAGGGGUAAAAUCCGUAGAUAUCACUAGGAAUACCUAAAGCGAAGGCGAUCUCCUGGAACAUUACUGACGCUAAGGCGUGAAAGCGUGGGUAGCAAACAGGAUUAGAUACCCGGGUAGUC
RNAcentral lists this ribosomal RNA (439 nucleotides) under uncultured bacterium. RNAcentral describes it as "partial 16S ribosomal RNA". It matches the Rfam family "Bacterial small subunit ribosomal RNA", at positions 339 to 795 of the family's 1533-position model. The record is from RNAcentral.